CUCCCAAAGUGCUGGGAUUACAGGCGUGAGCCACUGCGCCCAGCCACCUAUGUCCUCUUUUCUACAGGUUAGAAGCAAGGCACAAGUCAUACCUACAUUCAAGGAGAGGAGACCAUGCAAAGGAUAAACUUCAGAGAGACAACAGAUUUACAUCCCAGACACAUUCACACUGGGCAAAGAGCAGCUGCCAUUGCAGAUUUGAGUCACGUCCUUUUUUCCCUCCUUCUCCUUCUUGGAGUUACAGCAGAAGCUGGGGAGGUGAGAGUGCAGAAAGGACAUGGAUGAAGCAGAGAGGCAUGUGCCUGUCUCAUUCGCCUCUGGAUCUGCUGCAUCCAGGACCAUGUCAGCACAAAGUGGGAGCCCGAUAAAUAUUUAUUGAAGAAAUGAAAGGUGACAAAAGGCAGAAGGAGGGAGACCCCCAAAAGAGACCCCAGGCUCCAGAAGCAGAUGAGGAGACAAACAGAAGAGCAGAAGAAUGGCAGAAUGGCACAGCAGAGAGAAGAAAAGGAACAUCUGAAUGUUGACAGGAAUUUGGCUGGGGGCGGUUAGAGAGGAGAUUAGCCACUAGACAGCCAAACUCCAGGGGAAGAUCAUCUUCCCACUCCAUCCCCCUUCCAGCUCCCCAUCCAUCCUGCUGAGAGCCACCUCCACCACUCAAUGAAACCCCUGCAUUCAUCCUUCAAGUUUAUGUGUGGCCUGAUUCUUCCUGGACACUGGACAAAGACCUAGGUCCGGUGAACUGUCUAACAUUUAAGUCAUCCAUGGACAGCAAGGCUAACAGAACGCUGUAACAUGUGCCCACUUGGAACCUAUGCCCCUGUCACACAUCAUGGGACAGGGGUCAGGGAACUCUCCCAUUUCACUUUCAAAUAUUCCAGGUCCCCUUUUUGUUUGGGAGCCAGAGUCUAGUGGAGACAGAGAUAGAAAGCCUGAAAUAGGAUCCAGGCAAUAUAAACCUACAUGCUGUAAGCCAAGUCAGAGUGAGGCUGAUGUGAUAACAAAAGUCUGAAUAAAAGGUGGGAGACAAUUAGUCUGACUGAAAGGGAGGCAAGAGUUCUGCCAUAGGCUCGAUGCUAUGUGCCCCUGGCUUCCUAGCUCAUUUGCAAAUGGAAAAUACUAUUGCAUUGUAGGAAUCUUCUUUUUCCAUUUGUCUGGGGAAGGAGAAAGAAUGGCUGGGCUGAAUGAAUUUAUCCCUUGUUCCUCUUCCAACAAAGCUCAGCUAUGAAAGAUAAAUCCAGCUCUCCCCACCCUCUCUCAGUGGAGCUGGGGAGAAAUCAAAAGCCCCUCUGCCAAUAAUGAGACCAAAGUUUGCAAGGGCAGGACGAGCCCAUGCUAACGGAGAAAGUGUUGUUUCCUCAAUUUGGUUUUAGACUGUCUUGUCCUAUGGGGGAGAAAAGGUCUGCCCUUGGGAGAGGUGCCAACUUUAUAGAUCUAUUAAUAAAAGAACUGGCAGGCUUACAGUUCUUGCCAAUGAGGAAACUUGAAUGAGAGAAGCCAGGCUCAACCUUGGCCAACAGACUGGAGCCCAUCACCCUAACUUCACCCCGCUUCUCCUUACCCAAGCAUCCAAGGCUAGGCAGCACCCACCCAGCAGCUUCCACCUGGCCAAAGCCUGCACCUGCUCCACACCAAGGGUUAGAUGGAAAUUUGGCAUAGGGAGAGAGGGCUCACCUGUGGGCAGGAUAGACUCUAUUCAAGAAGGAGACCUGAAAAAUUAAAACCUAUGAGACAAGGGGUGAUCCUGAAGGCGGGCAGGAGAAAGGGCUGGAGGGAGAGGCCACUGGGGAAUUUUUCCUGGUGAAUACUGAAGUUACUAGAUGUUUUGUCUUGCAAAACUCAAGGGAAAACUCUCAAACUCUAACGUUUGUCUAUUCUGUGUCCAAAUUGUCCUUUUGAAACAAACCCACCUUUCAGUAAAGAAACUUGCAUUGGCCUUCCC
This 1939-nucleotide small RNA is filed under the name Pongo abelii (Sumatran orangutan). RNAcentral describes it as "retained intron". The stretch from base 134 to 270 matches the Rfam family "T-cell leukemia/lymphoma 6 conserved region 3". The record is from RNAcentral. Lineage: Eukaryota; Metazoa; Chordata; Mammalia; Primates; Hominidae.